GACGAACGCUGGCGGCGUGCUUAACACAUGCCAGUCGAACGGUAAGGCCCUUUCGGGGGUACACGAGUGGCGCACGGGUGAGUAACACGUGGGUGAUCUGCCCUGCACUUUGGGAUAAGCCUGGGAAACUGGGUCUAAUACCGGAUAGGACUACGCGAUGCAUGUCGUGUGGUGGAAAGCUUUUGCGGUGUGGGAUGGGCCCGCGGCCUAUCAGCUUGUUGGUGGGGUGAUGGCCUACCAAGGCGACGACGGGUAGCCGGCCUGAGAGGGUGUCCGGCCACACUGGGACUGAGAUACGGCCCAGACUCCUACGGGAGGCAGCAGUGGGGAAUAUUGCACAUUGGGCGCAAGCCUGAUGCAGCGACGCCGCGUGGGGGAUGACGGCCUUCGGGUUGUAAACCCCUUUCAGCACAGACGAAGCGUAAGUGACGGUAGGUGCAGAAGAAGCACCGGCCAACUACGUG
Molecule: ribosomal RNA, 464 nt
Filed under: uncultured bacterium
Lineage: Bacteria
Description: partial 16S ribosomal RNA
Rfam family: Bacterial small subunit ribosomal RNA
Source: RNAcentral